GGAGCUAGACCAAAGGUGACGCAGUUGCAAUCGAUAGUGUGCGUGAUUUUUGUGUAAGAUACACAAAUGUCAAAAAAGUAAAACUGUCAGCCAUGUUGCCUACGUCACUAUUUGUGUUUACUUUCAAUCGAUGGUAGAAAAGUGUCGAAAAGUUAACUUUUUAUCAAGUUUUAUUUCAUUUCGUGCGGGGUUUUAUUCGUUUUGACUUCAGUUCUCGAUCGGUAUUUUAGUUAUGCCGCGGUGUGCAGUGAAUGUGUGCCAAAUAACCUCCGGAGAGGCAAAAAAAGUGAAAAUUUAGCCAGCUUCCACUUGUUUCCAAAAGAGCCCACGAAGCGGGCUAAAUGGCUCAAGUUUUGUGGAAUCAUGAAAGAUCCUGGUACAGUAUUGUACGUUUGCUCCCAACACUUCAACCCGGAUGCAUUCGCCACAAAUGCCACCAUUAAACGCGAUCUAAUCAGCUGUGGCCGGAACAUUUUGGUUAAAGAUGCUAUUCCUUCAAUUCGUACCGUGGAGGUGGGAAGUUCUACAAACGUUAUCGCCGCAAAGAAUAAAAAGCAUUAGUUGCAUUAGUUGCCGAAAAUGCAUCCGUAGACUGUGCACUCGAAGAUCCUUCAGAUACGGUUCGUGGUUAUUCAAACAUGGAUGUACUGCUUGAAGCAAUUGAAUUAGCUGUGCCAAUACCACUUGAUCGAAUUUCAACAAACCAGCUGGCGUGCAGUGAGUUUGAGGAUCUCAGAAUUGGCGAUACCUUGGAAGACUCUGGAUGCCAAGAUGUUCUCAACUCCACUUUUCUCGAAGACGUUAAGACAGUUCCAAGCAACAAAUCGGAGAAAAUAACCACGAAACGUAAUAAAAAGUUGGACUACCUGGAAAGAUUGGCUCGAAGAAGAAAAGCUAAAAUAAAAUUGCUCCAGAAUCAGGUAAUAAAACAGGGAAUUUGUUCUACUUAUAAUAACAUGUUUCUAUAUUAAUAACUUUCGAAAAAAUGCUUUUUGGAUUGAAUUGCGUCGUUUUGCCUUUCUCGUUCACGUAGAGUAUUACGAAAACACUAAAUCACAGAUAACAGAAAACGAAUUGCUAUCAGGAUCCGACAUUUGCAGAAACAAGACAGAGAGAAAAAAAUCCAAAAAUUCAAAAAUGCAAAAAAGAAUAAGAUCAAGAAAACCACAUUGAAUGAAAGUAAAAGUGCUGUAAGGAGAAAGAAUGAGAGGAAAUUGAAGCAUUUUAGAAAUUAAUGUUUGUAUAAGUAUUAUGCUGUGUGUGUGCGUGUGUGAGUGUGUAUUUGUGUAAUAACGAGAGAAAAAAUACAUACAUUUUAACCAAAAAGUAAA
This is a long non-coding RNA of Armigeres subalbatus, 1331 nucleotides long. RefSeq lists it as uncharacterized. The transcript has 2 exons. Lineage: Eukaryota; Metazoa; Arthropoda; Insecta; Diptera; Culicidae. The record is from RefSeq and is a predicted model, not a curated record.